Molecule: ribosomal RNA, 243 nt
Filed under: uncultured Actinomycetales bacterium
Lineage: Bacteria; Bacillati; Actinomycetota; Actinomycetes; Actinomycetales
Description: partial 16S ribosomal RNA
Rfam family: Bacterial small subunit ribosomal RNA
Source: RNAcentral
UACUCGAGUGGUGAACGGGUGAGUAACACGUGGGUGAUCUGCCCUGCACUUCGGGAUAAGCUUGGGAAACUGGGUCUAAUACCGGAUAGGAGCCAUCUUUAGUGUGGUGGUUGGAAAGUUUUUUCGGUGUAGGAUGAGCUCGCGGCCUAUCAGCUUGUUGGCGGGGUAAUGGCCUACCAAGGCGGCGACGGGUAGCCGGCCUGAGAGGGUGUACGGCCACAUUGGGACUGAGAUACGGCCCAG